UACGGGAGGCAGCAGUGAGGAAUAUUGGUCAAUGGACGAGAGUCUGAACCAGCCAAGUAGCGUGAAGGAUGAAGGUUCUAUGGAUUGUAAACUUCUUUUAUACGGGAAUAAACGAAUCCACGCGUGGAUUUUUGCAUGUACCGUAUGAAUAAGGAUCGGCUAACUCCGUGCCAGCAGCCGCGGUAAUACGGAGGAUCCGAGCGUUAUCCGGAUUUAUUGGGUUUAAAGGGAGCGUAGAUGGGUUGUUAAGUCAGUUGUGAAAGUUUGCGGCUCAACCGUAAAAUUGCAAUUGAUACUGGCAGUCUUGAGUACAGUUGAGGUAGGCGGAAUUCGUGGUGUAGCGGUGAAAUGCUUAGAUAUCACGAAGAACUCCGAUUGCGAAGGCAGCUUACUAACCUGUAACUGACAUUGAUGCUCGAAAGUGUGGGUAUCAAACAGGAUUAGAUACCCUGGUAGUCCACACGGUAAACGAUGAAUACUCGCUGUAGGCGAUAUACGGUCUGCGGCCAAGCGAAAGCAUUAAGUAUUCCACCUGGGG
This 538-nucleotide ribosomal RNA is filed under the name uncultured bacterium. RNAcentral's name for it is "bacterial SSU rRNA". It matches the Rfam family "Bacterial small subunit ribosomal RNA", at positions 340 to 878 of the family's 1533-position model. The record is from RNAcentral.